GACCUCGGAUCAGGUAAGGAACCCCGAAA
Molecule: ribosomal RNA, 29 nt
Filed under: Diplodia seriata
Lineage: Eukaryota; Fungi; Ascomycota; Dothideomycetes; Botryosphaeriales; Botryosphaeriaceae
Description: partial 28S ribosomal RNA
Source: RNAcentral